RNAcentral lists this ribosomal RNA (615 nucleotides) under Dolichoderus sibiricus. Its description in RNAcentral is "12S ribosomal RNA". Lineage: Eukaryota; Metazoa; Arthropoda; Insecta; Hymenoptera; Formicidae. The record is from RNAcentral.
AGUGCCAGCAAUUGCGGUUAAACUAAUUAUAUAAAUGAAUAUAAAUAAUUUAAUAAUUUUAAUUAUUAAAAAUAUUUUAUAUAAAUAUAUAUAUUUUUUAGUGAAAUAUUAAAUAUAAUUUAAAUUAAAAUAUUUAUAAUUAAUUAUAAUUAUAUAAAAUUUAUUUAUAAAACAGGAUUAGAUACCCUGGUAUUUAAAAAUAAAAAAAUAAAAUUAAAAAUUAAAUGUAUAAAUCAUUAAAUUAAAAUAAUUUGGCGGUAUUUUUAGAAUUAGAGGGAUUUGUUUUAUAAUUGAUAAUCCACGAUUAGAUUUACCUAUUUAAUAUAUUUUUAUAUAUUGUUGUUUUAAUUUUGUCAUAAAUAUGAAUUACAUUAAAAAAUUUUAAUAUAAAUAUAAUUCAAAUCAAAAUGUAGAAUAAAUAGGAAUUUAAAUGAAUCACAAUUUAAUUAAUAAUUGAAUAUAUUUAUUUAAUUUAAUAUAGAAAGAGGAUUUAAUAGUAAAUUUAUUUAUAUAAAUAAAUUGAAUUAUAUAAAAAAUAUGUACAAAUUGCCCGUCAUUUUCAUUAUUAAGAUGAAAAAAGUCGUAACAAAGUAAAUGUACUGGAAAGUGUAUUUA